This 254-nucleotide ribosomal RNA is filed under the name uncultured bacterium. Its description in RNAcentral is "partial 16S ribosomal RNA". It matches the Rfam family "Bacterial small subunit ribosomal RNA", at positions 524 to 776 of the family's 1533-position model. The record is from RNAcentral.
UACGUAGGGUGCAAGCGUUGUCCGGAAUUAUUGGGCGUAAAGAGCUCGUAGGCGGUUUGUCGCGUCUGCUGUGAAAUCCCGAGGCUCAACCUCGGGCCUGCAGUGGGUACGGGCAGACUAGAGUGCGGUAGGGGAGAUUGGAAUUCCUGGUGUAGCGGUGGAAUGCGCAGAUAUCAGGAGGAACACCGAUGGCGAAGGCAGAUCUCUGGGCCGUAACUGACGCUGAGGAGCGAAAAGCAUGGGGAGCGAACAGG